This 678-nucleotide long non-coding RNA is filed under the name Homo sapiens (human). RNAcentral's name for it is "HSALNT0054952". Lineage: Eukaryota; Metazoa; Chordata; Mammalia; Primates; Hominidae. The record is from RNAcentral.
CCUCAGGAACGCCGUCAGUCUUGCCUUCCUGGGCUGCACAGACCCUGCGGGUGGCAGGAAGAACUGCACUCCCUGGGUCUAGAGGGAACACCUGAAUUUCGGCCCAGGUUACUUUGUCACAUCAGCAAGAGGAAAACUCCAACCAUGGAGAUAAGAUGUGGACUUCGCCUCUCUUCUGGCCGAACUUCCUACCGUGACCAUGCUGUGAUUGGGGGCCUUUCCAGCGUUCAGCACAGCCUCUCGUGCUGCCCUACCCUGCCUAUGACUGAGCUGGGACCAGAAGUACCAGGACAAGAACCAAUUUUGGAGCAUGAAAUUGAGACGGGUGGGAGAUUUAAAGCCCCAUUGGCUCCUGGGAGAAAUGGAGAGACUCAAUGAAUAUAAGAAAUGGGGGGUCGGGCAUGAUGACUCAAACCUGUAAUCCCAACACUUUGGGAGGCGGAGGCAGGCAGAUCACUUGAGAUCAAAAGUUCAAGACCAGCCUGGCCAACAUGAUAAAAUCCCGUCUCUACUAAAAAUACAAAAAGCUAGCCAGGCAUGGUGGUACACACCUGUAAUCUCAGUUACUUGGGAGGCUGAGGCAGGAGAAAUCGCUUGAACCCGGGAGGUGGAGGUUGCAGUGAACUGAGAUUGCACCACUGCACUCCAGCCUGAGUAAUAAACUCUGUCUCAAAAAAA